GACGAACCGUCCGAACGUUAUUCGGAAUCACUGGGCUUACAGAGUUCGUAGGCGGUCCGGCAAGUUGGGUGUGAAAUCCCUUGGCUCAACCAAGGAACUGCGCUUGAUACUGCCGGACUCGAGGGAGAUAGAGGAAAGCGGAACUGAUGGUGGAGCGGUGAAAUGCGUUGAUAUUAUCAGGAACACCGGUGGCGAAGGCGGUUCUCUGGGCCUUACCUGACGCUGAGGAGCGAAAGCGUGGGGAGCGAACAGG
RNAcentral lists this ribosomal RNA (253 nucleotides) under uncultured bacterium. RNAcentral's name for it is "partial 16S ribosomal RNA". It matches the Rfam family "Bacterial small subunit ribosomal RNA", at positions 524 to 776 of the family's 1533-position model. The record is from RNAcentral.